CCUACGGGUGGCAGCAGUGAGGAAUAUUGGUCAAUGGGCGGAAGCCUGAACCAGCAAAGUAGCGUGCAGGAUGACGGCCCUACGGGUGUUAAACUGCUUUUAUACGGGAAUAACCCGCCUUACGUGUAGGCCUUUGCAUGUACCUUAUGUAUAAGGACCGGCUAAUUCCGUGCAAGCAGCCGCGGUAAUACGGAGGGUCCGGGCGUUAUCCGGAUUUAUUGGGUUUAAAGGGAGCGUAGGCGGCAUGUCAAGCGUGCUGUGAAAUGUCCGGGCUCAACCCGGGCCUUGCAGCGCGAACUGGCGUGCUUGAGUCCGCGGAAAGCAGGCGGAAUUCGUCGCGUAGCGGUGAAAUGCUUAGAUAUGACGAAGAACCCCGAUUGCGAAGGCAGCUUGCUGCAGCGGAACUGACGCUGAUGCUCGAAAGCGCGGGUAUCGAACAGGAUUAGAUACCCCAGUAGUC
RNAcentral lists this ribosomal RNA (460 nucleotides) under uncultured bacterium. RNAcentral's name for it is "partial 16S ribosomal RNA". It matches the Rfam family "Bacterial small subunit ribosomal RNA", at positions 338 to 795 of the family's 1533-position model. The record is from RNAcentral.